AACGAACGCUGGCGGUAUGCUUUACACAUGCAAGUCGAACGCCCCGCAAGGGGAGUGGCAGACGGGUGAGUAACGCGUGGGAACGUGCCCUUCGCUUUGGAAUAGCCCCGGGAAACUGGGAGUAAUACCGAAUACGCCGUAUUGGGAAAGAUUUAUCGGCGAAGGAUCGGCCCGCGUUAGAUUAGCUAGUUGGCGGUGUAAUGGACCACCAAGGCUACGAUCUAUAGCUGGUCUGAGAGGAUGAUCAGCCACACUGGGACUGAGACACGGCCCAGACUCCUACGGGAGGCAGCAGUGGGGAAUCUUGGACAAUGGGCGCAAGCCUGAUCCAGCCAUGCCGCGUGAGUGAAGAAGGCCUUAGGGUUGUAAAACUCUUUCGCCGGAGAAGAUAAUGACGGUAUCCGGAGAAGAAGCCCCGGCUAACUUCGUGCCAGCCGCCGCGGUAA
RNAcentral lists this ribosomal RNA (446 nucleotides) under uncultured bacterium. Its description in RNAcentral is "partial 16S ribosomal RNA". It matches the Rfam family "Bacterial small subunit ribosomal RNA", at positions 29 to 523 of the family's 1533-position model. The record is from RNAcentral.